GAUAAACGCUGGCGGCGUGCUUAACACAUGCAAGUCGAACGAAGUUUUUCCUUCGGGAGAAACUUAGUGGCGGACGGGUGAGUAACGCGUGGGUAACCUGCCCUGUACAGGGGGACAACAGCUGGAAACGGCUGCUAAUACCGCAUAAGCACUUAGCACUGCAUGGUGCAUAGGGAAAAGGAGCAAUCCGGUACAGGAUGGACCCGCGUCUGAUUAGCCAGUUGGCAGGGUAACGGCCUACCAAAGCGACAAUCAGUAGCCGAUCUGAGAGGAUGUACGGCCACAUUGGGACUGAGACACGGCCCAGACUCCUACGGGAGGCAGCAGUGGGGAAUAUUGCACAAUGGAGGAAACUCUGAUGCAGCGACGCCGCGUGAGUGAAGAAGUAUUUCGGUAUGUAAAGCUCUAUCAGCAGGGAAGAAAAUGACGGUACCUGACGAAGAAGCACCGGCUAAAUACGUG
Molecule: ribosomal RNA, 462 nt
Filed under: uncultured bacterium
Lineage: Bacteria
Description: partial 16S ribosomal RNA
Rfam family: Bacterial small subunit ribosomal RNA
Source: RNAcentral